Molecule: unclassified non-coding RNA, 348 nt
Filed under: soil metagenome
Description: partial contains 5.8S ribosomal RNA, internal transcribed spacer 2, and large subunit ribosomal RNA
Rfam family: 5.8S ribosomal RNA (bases 1-120)
Source: RNAcentral
GAUGAAGAACGUAGCGAAAUGCGAUAAGUAAUGUGAAUUGCAGAAUUCAGUGAAUCAUCGAAUCUUUGAACGCACAUUGCGCCCGCCAGUAUUCUGGCGGGCAUGCCUGUCUGAGCGUCAUUUCAACCCUCAUGCCCCUAGGGCGUGGUGUUGGGGAUCGGCCAAAGCCCGCGAGGGACGGCCGGCCCCUAAAUCUAGUGGCGGACCCGUCGUGGCCUCCUCUGCGAAGUAGUGAUAUUCCGCAUCGGAGAGCGACGAGCCCCUGCCGUUAAACCCCCAACUUUCCAAGGUUGACCUCAGAUCAGGUAGGAAUACCCGCUGAACUUAAGCAUAUCAAUAAGCGGACGA